Molecule: ribosomal RNA, 507 nt
Filed under: uncultured bacterium
Lineage: Bacteria
Description: bacterial SSU rRNA
Rfam family: Bacterial small subunit ribosomal RNA
Source: RNAcentral
AUUGAACGCUGGCGGCAGGCCUAACACAUGCAAGUCGGGCGGUAACAGGGAUAGCUUGCUAUCUGCUGACGAGCGGCGGACGGGUGAGUAAUGCAUAGGAAUCUGCCUGGUAGUGGGGGAUAGCCCAGAGAAAUUUGGAUUAAUACCGCAUACGCCCUACGGGGGAAAGCAGGGGAUCUUCGGACCUUGCGCUAUCAGAUGAGCCUAUGUCGGAUUAGCUUGUUGGUGAGGUAACGGCUCACCAAGGCGACGAUCCGUAGCUGGUCUGAGAGGAUGAUCAGCCACACUGGGACUGAGACACGGCCCAGACUCCUACGGGAGGCAGCAGUGGGGAAUAUUGGACAAUGGGCGCAAGCCUGAUCCAGCCAUGCCGCGUGUGUGAAGAAGGCCUUCGGGUUGUAAAGCACUUUCAGCGAGGAGGAAAGGGGUGUUGCUAAUAUCAGCGCCCUGUGACGUUACUCGCAGAAGAAGCACCGGCUAACUCCGUGCCAGCCGCCGCCGUAACAC